This 65-nucleotide transfer RNA is filed under the name human gut metagenome. It matches the Rfam family "tRNA", at positions 5 to 66 of the family's 71-position model. Rfam says of the family: Transfer RNA (tRNA) molecules are approximately 80 nucleotides in length. Their secondary structure includes four short double-helical elements and three loops (D, anti-codon, and T loops). The record is from RNAcentral. RNAcentral also lists the same sequence under 1 other name.
CUGUGGCUCAGCUGGAUAGAGCAGCGGCCUUCUAAGCCGCGGGUCAGGGGUUCGAAUCCCUUCAG